This 424-nucleotide ribosomal RNA is filed under the name uncultured bacterium. RNAcentral's name for it is "partial 16S ribosomal RNA". It matches the Rfam family "Bacterial small subunit ribosomal RNA", at positions 360 to 776 of the family's 1533-position model. The record is from RNAcentral.
AAUUUUGGACAAUGGGGGAAACCCUGAUCCAGCCAUCCCGCGUGUAUGAUGAAGGCCUUCGGGGUGUAAAGUACUUUUGGACGAGCAGAAAAGGCAGCCCCUAAUACGGGUGACUGCUGACGGUCUCUGACGAAUAAGCACCGGCUACCUAAGUGCCAGCGGCCUCGGUAAUACGUAGGGUGCAAGCGUUAAUCGGAAUUACAGGGCGUAAAGCGUGUGUAGGCGGUUCGGAAAGAAAGAUGUGAACUCCCAGGGCUCAACCUUUGAACUGCAUUUUUAACUGCCGAGCUAGAGUAUGUCAGAGGGGGGUAGAAUUCCACGUGUAGCAGUGAAAUGCGUAGAUAUGUGGAGGAAUACCGAUGGCGAAGGCAGCCCCCUGGGAUAAUACUGACGCUCAGACACGAAAGCGUGGGGAGCAAACAGG